Molecule: ribosomal RNA, 478 nt
Filed under: uncultured bacterium
Lineage: Bacteria
Description: partial 16S ribosomal RNA
Rfam family: Bacterial small subunit ribosomal RNA
Source: RNAcentral
GACGAACGCUGGCGGCGUGCUUAACACAUGCAAGUCGAACGGUAAGGCCCUUCGGGGUACACGAGUGGCGAACGGGUGAGUAACACGUGGGUGAUCUGCCCUGCACUUCGGGAUAAGCCUGGGAAACUGGGUCUAAUACCGGAUAGGACCACUGCCUGCAUGGGUGGUGGUGGAAAGCUUUUGCGGUGUGGGAUGGGCCCGCGGCCUAUCAGCUUGUUGGUGGGGUGAUGGCCUACCAAGGCGACGACGGGUAGCCGGCCUGAGAGGGUGACCGGCCACACUGGGACUGAGAUACGGCCCAGACUCCUACGGGGGGCAGCAGUGGGGAAUAUUGCACAAUGGGCGCAAGCCUGAUGCAGCGACUCCGCGUGGGGGAUGACGGCCUUCGGGUUGUAAACCUCUUUCAGCACCGACGAAGCGCAAGUGACGGUAGGUGCAGAAGAAGGACCGGCCAACUACGUGCCAGCCGCCGCGGUAA